This is a non-coding RNA of Lactuca sativa (garden lettuce), 1542 nucleotides long. NCBI's taxonomy places the organism in Eukaryota, Viridiplantae, Streptophyta, Magnoliopsida, Asterales, Asteraceae. The record is from RefSeq and is a predicted model, not a curated record.
CGUGUCUCUUCUUUUCCUUUUUACUUUUGCAUUCGGUUGUUUGUUGAUUUUUAUUUUCCCUACCUCUUUCCUUCAUCGUCUCCUUCUGUUUCUCUGCACUACUUGCUCUUUCUUUCCCAGGGGGGCUGACCCGGUGCUUCGUCUUCUUCUGUUAUCUCUGUUGGUCGCCGGCGAAAAUGUAGGCGUUUCGAUGGCCUCUCUGUUCUUCCGGAGUAUGUUGACUCUGGCGACUCUACCUGGGUUUAAAGUCUCGGAUUAUUCAAAGCUGUCUGCAGAGGGAACUAUCACUUAAUGCAUCAACCAUUGCUUGAUUCAGGUUUCGAAACCAAAUAGUUUUAGGGAUCAUUUCAAACACCUUAAUGUGAUUCGUUUUCUUUUCUGGGAUAAUUAGGAUUUGAUCAGGGAUUCACUCAACGGAUGCUGAUACUUACCAUGAAGAAGGGGAAAAGAGGUAUUGAGAAAAAACCCGUGUGGCAGGGGAAAAGAGGUAUUGAGAAAAAACCCUUUCAACUUCCUGACUUCAUUGCAGCCACUGGGAUUGAGAAAAUUAGACAAGUGGCCCCAACAACAUGGGAUUGGAUAUAUGCUUAUGAACAUCUUUUGGGGGCUUGGAAUCGGUGGCUUCACAAUGCCAAACAAUUCAAAUGCUGGCACAACUACAAGAAAUGAGAUUCUUUGACACACGUGAGAAUCGUCAAGCACUGACAGCCACUGCAGGUAAUGUUCAUGCUGCAUCUGAGAGUCUAUUUGGAAUUUUUGGUUAAUGUCAGAUAUGGAAUACUGAUUAUGUAAUUGAUGUCUUUUAGUUUAUCAUUUAAAUGUAAUGUCACAUUUUAGUGUAUGAUUUAUAUGUGUGUUUUUCCCUAGAAGAAGAAGAGCAAUGUAUUUGCAAACUUGCAGGUAAGGCAUUACAUGCAAUUGUUCUUCCUUUCAUUGUCUGCAAUUGUGUCCGUUUGUAUCUUUCUAUAUUUGUUUUUUUUGUGGGACAUCUUUUUUCCAUGAGCAUUCGUAAUAUUUUGAGUACACAUAUUUCCCUUUUUGUUGAUCGUAAUUGUUGAGGUUGGUCAUGCAGUUUUUAAGGUGCCUUUUAUUUUUGAAGAUACACAUCUUGGUAGUUAAUAGUAACGGAAAAAAUUGUCGCUUCCGACACCCGCCCAAUACCAUAAAGCCAUCCACUAGCUGCCAUCACCACCACCACCACCGCCAAAAUUAUAUAAAUGGUCCAUAUGGUUUACCCGUCGUCACAAAUUCAGUCCCUACUACCUUAAAAGACCAAAUUACCCUCACAUUAACGGACAAAAAACAACGGUCUAUAUUUUCCGAAUUGGUUUUCCGGCCGCUGCCAUACAUGGCAAUAAAGUUCAAUUUGUGAGACUGUUUCUUUAUUUUCCUCAUUUAUUGCAAGAAAUAAUGAUUUAGAUUUCUUUACUUAUGUAAUUAGAUGGCAUUGUUUAUCUUUCUUUACUAGAUUAUCUCAAUGUAAUUCAACAUGCUACUUUACUUUACAAAGCAAUACCUUCAGACCACGGCAACGCCGGAGAA